This 449-nucleotide ribosomal RNA is filed under the name uncultured bacterium. Its description in RNAcentral is "bacterial SSU rRNA". It matches the Rfam family "Bacterial small subunit ribosomal RNA", at positions 30 to 514 of the family's 1533-position model. The record is from RNAcentral.
AGUGAACGUUGGCGGCGUGGAUUAGGCAUGCAAGUCGAGCGAUCGUAGCAAUACGGGAGCGGCAAACGGGGUAGGAAUACAUCGGAACGUACCCUUUGGGUCAGGGAUAGCGUUGGGAAACUGACGGUAAUACCUGAUAAAGUCGAGAGACCAAAGGUUUACUGCCGGGAGGAGCGGCCGAUGCGAUAUUAGGUAGUUGGUGGGGUAAUGGCCUACCAAGCCUGAGAUGUCUAGGGGGUGUGAGAGCAUGGCCCCCACCACUGGGACUGAGAAACUGCCCAGACACCUACGGGUGGCUGCAGUCGAGGAUCUUCGUCAAUGGGCGAAAGCCUGAACGAGCGACGCCGCGUGCGGGAUGAAGGCCCUUGGGUUGUAACCGCUGUCAGGGGGAUGAAACCGCAAGGUUGACAGAGCCCCAGAGGAAGCACGGGCUAAGUUCGUGCCAGCAG